GAUGAAGAACGCAGCGAAAUGCGAUACGUAAUGUGAAUUGCAGAAUUCAGUGAAUCAUCGAAUCUUUGAACGCAUAUUGCGCUCUUUGGUAUUCCGAAGAGCAUGCUUGUUUGAGUAUCAAUAAACACCUCAACCUCUUCUUGAUUUUUCAAAAGGAGGGUGGACUUGAGCUAUCCCAACAACCUUUACCGGUCGGCGGGCGGCUUGAAAUGCAGGUGCAGCUGGACUUUUAUCUGAGCUAAAAGCAUAUCUAUUUAGUCCUCGUCAAACAGGAUUAUUACUUUUGCUGCAGCUAACAUAAAGGAUAAUUGUCCUCUUUGCUGACUGAUGCAGGAUUUUACGACACUUUAUGUGUUGUUCAACUCGAUCUCAAAUCAAGUAAGACUACCCGCUGAACUUAAGCAUAUCAAUAAGCGGAGGA
Molecule: unclassified non-coding RNA, 421 nt
Filed under: soil metagenome
Description: partial contains 5.8S ribosomal RNA, internal transcribed spacer 2, and large subunit ribosomal RNA
Rfam family: 5.8S ribosomal RNA (bases 1-120)
Source: RNAcentral